UACGACGGGGGCUAGCGUUGCUCGGAAUCACUGGGCGUAAAGCGCACGUAGGCGGCUUUUUAAGUCAGAGGUGAAAUCCUGGAGCUCAACUCCAGAACUGCCUUUGAUACUGAGAAUCUUGAGUAUGGGAGAGGUGAGUGGAACUGCGAGUGUAGAGGUGAAAUUCGUAGAUAUUCGCAAGAACACCAGUGGCGAAGGCGGCUCACUGGCCCAUAACUGACGCUGAGGCACGAAAGCGUGGGGAGCAAACAGG
RNAcentral lists this ribosomal RNA (253 nucleotides) under uncultured bacterium. RNAcentral describes it as "partial 16S ribosomal RNA". It matches the Rfam family "Bacterial small subunit ribosomal RNA", at positions 524 to 776 of the family's 1533-position model. The record is from RNAcentral.